This 397-nucleotide ribosomal RNA is filed under the name uncultured bacterium. RNAcentral describes it as "partial 16S ribosomal RNA". It matches the Rfam family "Bacterial small subunit ribosomal RNA", at positions 523 to 918 of the family's 1533-position model. The record is from RNAcentral.
AUACGUAGGUGGCAAGCGUUGUCCGGAAUUAUUGGGCGUAAAGCGCGCGCAGGUGGUUCCUUAAGUCUGAUGUGAAAGCCCCCGGCUCAACCGGGGAGGGUCAUUGGAAACUGGGGAACUUGAGUGCAGAAGAGGAUAGUGGAAUUCCAAGUGUAGCGGUGAAAUGCGUAGAGAUUUGGAGGAACACCAGUGGCGAAGGCGACUGUCUGGUCUGUAACUGACACUGAGGCGCGAAAGCGUGGGGAGCAAACAGGAUUAGAUACCCUGGUAGUCCACGCCGUAAGCGAUGAGUGCUAAGUGUUGGGGGGUUUCCGCCCCUCAGUGCUGCAGCUAACGCAUUAAGCACUCCGCCUGGGGAGUACGGUCGCAAGACUGAAACUCAAAGGAAUUGGCGGGG